AAGAAUUUGCCCCGUCCUCUCGAGGAUGGGUCCUCUUCUAAACCGUGUAUACAUACCUUUGUUGCUUUGGCGGGCCGCCGUCUCGGCGUUGGCUUCGGCUGACUGUGCCCGCCAGAGGACCUAAACUCUGUUUGUCUAUACUGUCUGAGUACUAUAUAAUAGUUA
RNAcentral lists this unclassified non-coding RNA (165 nucleotides) under uncultured Cryptosporiopsis. RNAcentral's name for it is "sequence contains ITS1". The record is from RNAcentral. Lineage: Eukaryota; Fungi; Ascomycota; Leotiomycetes; Helotiales; Dermateaceae.